This 516-nucleotide ribosomal RNA is filed under the name uncultured bacterium. RNAcentral describes it as "bacterial SSU rRNA". It matches the Rfam family "Bacterial small subunit ribosomal RNA", at positions 8 to 518 of the family's 1533-position model. The record is from RNAcentral.
AGAGUUGAUCCUGGCUUAGGAUGAACGCUAGCGGCAGGCUUAACACAUGCAAGUCGAGGGGCAGCGGGAUGUAGCAAUACAUUGCCGGCGACCGGCGGAUGGGUGCGUAACGCGUAUGCAACCUACCUUAUACAGGGGAAUAACCUUUCGAAAGGGAGACUAACACCCCAUAGUAUUGAUUUAAGGCAUCUUAGAUUAAUUAAAUAUUUAUAGGUAUAAGAUGGGCAUGCGUAUGAUUAGCUAGUUGGUAAGGUAACGGCUUACCAAGGCGACGAUCAUUAGGGGUUCUGAGAGGAAGGUCCCCCACACUGGUACUGAGACACGGACCAGACUCCUACGGGAGGCAGCAGUGAGGAAUAUUGGUCAAUGGGCGCAAGCCUGAACCAGCCAUGCCGCGUGCAGGAAGACGGCCUUAUGGGUUGUAAACUGCUUUUACAUAAGACUAACCGUAUAUUUGCGAAUAUACCUGAAUGUAUUAUGAGAAUAAGGAUCGGCUAACUCCGUGCCAGCCGCCGC